UAAUGGGUGAAUAUAGAUAAGG
Molecule: non-coding RNA, 22 nt
Filed under: Arabidopsis thaliana (thale cress)
Lineage: Eukaryota; Viridiplantae; Streptophyta; Magnoliopsida; Brassicales; Brassicaceae
Source: RNAcentral